GUUACAGCAGCCGCGGUAAUACGUAGGUGGCAAGCGUUGUCCGGAUUUACUGGGCGUAAAGCGCCCGCAGGCGGCUUGGCAAGUCUGAGGUGAAAUCUCCCGGCUCAACUGGGAGGGUGCCCCGGAAACUGCCAGGCUCGAGGCAGGGAGAGGGAUGUGGAAUUCCCGGUGUAGUGGUGAAAUGCGUAGAUAUCGGGAGGAACACCAGUGGCGAAGGCGGCAUCCUGGCCCUGUCCUGACGCUCAGGGGCGAAAGCGUGGGGAGCAAACCGGAUUAGAAACCCUUGUAGUCC
Molecule: ribosomal RNA, 292 nt
Filed under: uncultured bacterium
Lineage: Bacteria
Description: partial 16S ribosomal RNA
Rfam family: Bacterial small subunit ribosomal RNA
Source: RNAcentral